GCAAAUUUCUCUGUGAUUUCAAACGUGGCUUUCUUCUAGGAUCUGUAAUUUUGGGGUAGUGUCUAAGUCAAGAUGGAUCCGUGUUCGUGCCAGUAGAUAAAAAAGGCCAUCAGACUCAACCUGACCUACUCCAUGAGUCCCAGUUAUGUAACUGCAGUAAUCAGCCUUGGUAACACACGUAGUAUAUCCUUUGGCUUUGUGUGGAAUGCCAGUCUACAAUUGCAAAAAUCGGGGAUUGGAAAUUCUUCAUGUUCCAUCUGAAAGCACGAUGCAGCUACAGUUGGGAUUCUGUCCUUGGUGAAGGUUAGGACAAAAAGAAAACCACCCUAAGAUUAUCCCUAGAACGGCACCUGCAACUGAGUCCCUCUAGAACUACUUGGGGAUUCAAAUUUUGGCAUGCCUGGGUUCCUUUUGGAGCCAAGGAAAAUGUAAUCAUUAGUACUAGUGAGUUGUUUCUCAUUAUCAUUUAUGAAGGGUACCCA
Molecule: long non-coding RNA, 482 nt
Filed under: Fukomys damarensis (Damara mole-rat)
Lineage: Eukaryota; Metazoa; Chordata; Mammalia; Rodentia; Bathyergidae
Description: lncRNA (ENSFDAG00000028878.1)
Source: RNAcentral